GCAUCAGACUCUGUGAAGUGUAUAUUUUGAAGAAGUAUUCAACAGUGUGAGGAGAACACCCAGCUCUUCUGGCCCAGGCUGGGUCCUGUUUUUCCCCACAUUGAAUUGGCGAGCCAGCCAGGAGAGGCUCGAGGAAGCUGAACGCCUGGACGGAACUGCUGACUCUUGGGUUCAACGUUUGGCCACCAAACAAAGAGGUUUCUCUGCAGAUACGGGCCCAAGAAGACGGAGAAGCAGACGACCUCAAGCAAUUAUAAACAGAUUACAAGGGUGCAGCAACACAAGCCAAGGCCAGCUGGGGUGGCCUACAUUAAGAAUUAAACCAAAAAGCCCCUUUGAAAUAAGGGUACCCCAAUUGCAAUCGUUAUAUCGGAGCCCAACAUUAUACAGGAAUGGCCAGAAGCAACGCAAGGGCUUAUGGCUGAUGAUGAUAUUGUGAUCUGAACCACAGAUCGCAGAAGGAGGUUGACAACUGAGUGUGUUGUGACUUGCUCCAAUGACGGGUAAGAUCUCCGCAAAGAGACAACCUAAGGCAGGGAUGAGUCGACCCCUCAGGUCACCGAGUAACAUAACAUAUGUGUCAAGGCUUAUUGCUGGAAUAAGUACUGAAGGGAGAAGAGUUUUCUCUAGCAUAACUAGAAUUCUGAGCAACACUAAAUUCCUAGGCAUUGCAGCAGAGCCCGUCUGUCUCCAGGCACCAAACCUCCCAAGGACAACAACAAGUUUGAAAUAUAGUGGGAGGAGGAUAAGAGAGUGUGGGUAACCUACACAGGAUGGCCGAAGGGAGUACCGGAGGAACAUGAGAUAAUGAGUGAAGCGCCCAUAGAUUACGGUGCAGCAUUGCUUCCCUAGGGACAAACACACAAGAGUAGUCAUUGAAUAAACCAUCUGUGGUAUAACCAACAGAAGUUUAUCAAUUACACCAUUCAGGCCCUAGCUGGGGUGAAAGAACAAUUGCAUGCCACUUCGUUUAUGACAAUACAGAAUAGGCUAUUUCUUGACACAGUGCUAGCUGAGGAACAGGGGGUAUGUGAAAGGAUUGGGGAAGAAUGUUGUACAGUCAUUUCAAUACACACAGGAGAGGGGGUAACAUAACAACAGCAUUAGAGGCAUUGGGAAAACCUGAGAGACGAACACGUUAGAAACACGAAGAGAAUCUAAGGGGUGGUCAUGGUGGGACUGGUUUAACAUGUCAACAUGGAAAAUGGCUCUGGUAAAAUAAGGGUGAUCAUAGGGAUAGUAUUGUUGGUGUUGUUAUUUGCCUGUUGUGUAAUUCCACUAAUUCAGUCCCUGGUCAAAAGGUUGGUAACUUCAGUCACUGGGCAAUUUCCGGUUACAACUGGACAUUACCAAUGCAGAUAAGUGGAGUAUGGCUAAUCAAUAAUGACCCCUCCAUCGUUGGGUGUGGUAAAUUGACCCCAAGAAAAGGAAAUUAACCAUUACAUGAGACGCACAACGGUGCAAGGGGGGUGGGGUGUUUUGCUGUAACUGUCAUUCAAACAGGACCUAACAAGUAUCGCAAUCAAUAUGGAAACCCUCUUUGCGAAUGGGGUGUGAGAGGAGGUGCUGGCUGGGAAUGCUGGAACGUCCAUCCACAAGUCGCCCGCCUGGUGAACAAUCCUGGGUUCUGGGAGGCUUACGCUAGAUGCGCCUGUGGAGAACCUUCUGUGUGUAGCAAAGACCGCCAGCGCUGCGAGGAAAAGAGCGACCAGAGUCACUGUGCAUCGAAUGUUCUAGUAACCUCUCCGCAGUGAUAACCCUCUGCGGUGCGUAAAGUACCUGGGCUGAAGAAACAUACACCGACUGCACAACUCGCGUGACAAUCAAGAGGAUCGAGAGCAGCAAGAGUAUCUGAGUGAUGUGCUAGCAACCUCUCCUCAACAUACAAAGAGCCAGGCUACGACUCGCAAAGAGCCAAACUGGACGGAAGUAGAUGACGGCCCCGAAAACGAAAAUAUGAGUGAAGCAAAAGUAGAGGCUACUAUCAAGAGACCCACAUAACCAAGUAGAAUUGACUGACUGAUUUAAUAAAUAACUAACCAGAAUUAUGAUGUUAGAACUCCAUCUAACCAUCUCAUGUAACUGUAUGCACCUGUAACCCGUGGCUGAUCCAAUUAUUAAUGUACUCAGGCAUAAACACGCAAUAUGUAUACAUGAUAUUGUAUUAGUUAAAAGGAAAAUCAGACCACACUGAACCUCGUAGUGAAACAAAGGCCACGGUUUGCCCUGUUGGUGUUAUUCAGGAAAAUUCAGGCGGCGAAGACAUAAUCCAAUCCAUCGCACUCAGAAGGCGACAUUCACGUGCGAAAGGGGGGUCACGUGAUGCAUGUUCGGGGGCAUGCCUGAGCAGCACUCUGCCUUACUGCUCAUAUUCAGCUACAGUUGUGUGGGUGAGUACUGGGCAACAACUGCUGGGCAAACUGGUUUGCUAGUGGCAAUAUUAAGCAACAGAAAGGCCGUAUAGGGAGUCUGUUGAAUUGUUUACUUCUCAACGAGUCAAUGUGGGCUGAAAACAUUUUAGCAGUAAGGAGAAUAUGUUGUACUGAUUGUUAUGCAGACUAUACUUGUUAUAUUGCUUUGGAUCUCUUUGGCCUGUGUGCAAGGUGAAAUGGCAAGAACUGUGAGGGAUAUGAGCAUUGUGUGGCUUUUACCCACUCCCCGCAAAAUAGGGAGGGGAUGUUUUCCACGCGAUGAUCUGCUCUGCUGUUAGGUCUCCCUCCAGGCGACAGUCAUCAUUUGGUGAUCGCUAAGGUCAUGAGACAGCGUUUUGCUGUCUGACCGGACGGAAUCUGACAACAGAUCUUAGGGAAAGUUUGCCAAAUGUGAUCUAUUCACGUAGUAACAUGAAUGCAUAUUAAUCAACGUAUACCAAAUACAUAUUAAAUGAAUGCUAAGAAACGCAAGAGUCCUAGUGCAGGAAUAUAAAGAUGUGUGUUGGGAUUAGGCUAGGCAUGGGGUGUGCCGCAAGGGCUAGCCACAUGGGCUGUCGUGCAGGAGGCGGCACAUAGGGUGCCCCGCAGUCUCUGCAUUGAUGUGAAAGCUAUGUAUUGGUCAAUUUAGUCCACAUUAAGUUAUGUUCCUGCACCAAGUUGUCUGCACUGCUUAUUUUAUAAGUAAUCACAAUAGAUAUGGAACUUAGAAGUUCCAAAGGGGGGAAUGUGGGGAAAUAAAUAUAGAUGUACUCAAAAAACACAAGCCCAUUGCAUUGGGAAAGAUAUGUAGUUAGAGAGCACAGGCCCAGUGUAUAUGGGAAAGGAAUGUAUUAAUGAGCACCAGCUGUCUACUCCCUGACGUAUCAUCCGGCUAGCAAAAGAGGAAGGAUGCAGGUGGACCAAGGUCGACCUUAGCCAUAAGAUUAACAACCGGCAGCAGGGAAGCGCUUCAUACUAAAAUAGGUGCGAUUAGAACAAACACGUAAUACACACAUAAUUUCUGCCCUGCUAAUUAAGCUGUAUACAAGCAUAUGUGUGGAACUAACGGAAGCUUCUGCCUUUUCCGGAAAAUGUGUCGUCAGAAUGUGAUUUAUGAUAGAAGGGGGAGGGAGAUUCAAGUGGGAGAGGAGCACUAUCAUUUUUUAAAAAUAAGGAAGGAAGGGGCUGAUAAAUAAUGGUGUCCGAGAAUUGGGAAAUAAUGGUGUCUGAAAAAUGAGAAACAAUGAUGUGUGGGAAAAGAGUAAAGUAAAAUGAUGUAAGCAUGAGGGACAGUCCAAGCUUGAGCUCCACAACAGGAGGAGCUAAAAUAGGAUAAAAGGGAGUGUUCAGCCCCAGGGGAGUGGAGUGUGUCUUGUAUGUCUUGUAUGUCUCGAAUGUCUGUGUGUGUGUCUUGUCUGUGGGUGUG
Molecule: long non-coding RNA, 3837 nt
Organism: Anguilla anguilla (European eel)
Lineage: Eukaryota; Metazoa; Chordata; Actinopteri; Anguilliformes; Anguillidae
Exons: 5
Source: RefSeq, a predicted model, not a curated record